CUAUAAUUGUCAGCUAAGUGGCGCACGGGUGAGCAAUGUAUAGAUAACCUGCCCUUAAGAAAGGAAUAACAGUUGGAAACGACUGCUAAUGCCCUAUAUGCCUUUAAUACAUAAGUAUGCAAGGGAAACGCUUUAGUGCUUAAGGAUGGGUCUGUAUGGUAUUAGCUUGUUGGUGAGGUAAUGGCUCACCAAGGCUAUGACGCCUAACUGGUUUGAGAGGAUGAUCAGUCACACUGGAACUGAGACACGGUCCAGACUCCUACGGGAGGCAGCAGUGGGGAAUAUUGCACAAUGGACGAAAGUCUGAUGCAGCAACACCGCGUGGAGGAUGACACAUUUCGGUGCGUAAACUCCUUUUAUAUAGGAAGAUAAUGACGGUACUAUAUGAAUAAGCACCGGCUAACUCCGUGCCAGCAGCCGCGGUAAUACGGAGGGUGCAAGCGUUACUCGGAAUCACUGGGCGUAAAGAGCGUGUAGGCGGGUAUAUAAGUCAGAAGUGAAAUCCAAUAGCUCAACUAUUGAACUGCUUUUGAAACUGUAUACCUAGAAUGUGGGAGAGGUAGAUGGAAUUUCUGGUGUAGGGGUAAAAUCCGUAGAGAU
RNAcentral lists this ribosomal RNA (600 nucleotides) under uncultured bacterium. RNAcentral's name for it is "bacterial SSU rRNA". It matches the Rfam family "Bacterial small subunit ribosomal RNA", at positions 78 to 697 of the family's 1533-position model. The record is from RNAcentral.